This 343-nucleotide ribosomal RNA is filed under the name Ensifer meliloti. Its description in RNAcentral is "Sinorhizobium meliloti bacterial SSU rRNA". It matches the Rfam family "Bacterial small subunit ribosomal RNA", at positions 1007 to 1350 of the family's 1533-position model. The record is from RNAcentral. Lineage: Bacteria; Pseudomonadati; Pseudomonadota; Alphaproteobacteria; Hyphomicrobiales; Rhizobiaceae.
CGUAUCCUUCAGUUCGGCUGGAUCGGAGACAGGUGCUGCAUGGCUGUCGUCAGCUCGUGUCGUGAGAUGUUGGGUUAAGUCCCGCAACGAGCGCAACCCUCGCCCUUAGUUGCCAGCAUUCAGUUGGGCACUCUAAGGGGACUGCCGGUGAUAAGCCGAGAGGAAGGUGGGGAUGACGUCAAGUCCUCAUGGCCCUUACGGGCUGGGCUACACACGUGCUACAAUGGUGGUGACAGUGGGCAGCGAGACCGCGAGGUCGAGCUAAUCUCCAAAAGCCAUCUCAGUUCGGAUUGCACUCUGCAACUCGAGUGCAUGAAGUUGGAAUCGCUAGUAAUCGCAGAUC